UACGAAGGGGGCUAGCGUUGUUCGGAAUUACUGGGCGUAAAGCGCACGUAGGCGGGCUGUUAAGUCGGGGGUGAAAUCCCGGGGCUCAACCCCGGAACUGCCUCCGAUACUGGCAGCCUGGAGGACGGGAGAGGUGAGUGGAAUGGCGAGUGUAGAGGUGAAAUUCGUAGAUAUUCGCCGGAACACCAGUGGCGAAGGCGGCUCACUGGCCCGUACCUGACGCUGAGGCGCGAAAGCGUGGGGAGCAAACAGG
This 253-nucleotide unclassified non-coding RNA is filed under the name uncultured Rhodobacterales bacterium. RNAcentral's name for it is "contains 16S-23S intergenic spacer region". It matches the Rfam family "Bacterial small subunit ribosomal RNA", at positions 524 to 776 of the family's 1533-position model. The record is from RNAcentral. Lineage: Bacteria; Pseudomonadati; Pseudomonadota; Alphaproteobacteria; Rhodobacterales.